GCUCCUUUCGUGUAGUUGGUUAUCACGUGGGAUUUUGAUUCCCAAAACGCAAGUUCGAAUCUUGCAAGGAGCU
Molecule: transfer RNA, 73 nt
Filed under: Penicillium oxalicum 114-2
Lineage: Eukaryota; Fungi; Ascomycota; Eurotiomycetes; Eurotiales; Aspergillaceae
Also listed under: 1 other name
Description: tRNA-Gln (TTG) (tRNA-Gln-TTG-1-1)
Rfam family: tRNA
About the family: Transfer RNA (tRNA) molecules are approximately 80 nucleotides in length. Their secondary structure includes four short double-helical elements and three loops (D, anti-codon, and T loops). Further hydrogen bonds mediate the characteristic L-shaped molecular structure. tRNAs have two regions of fundamental functional importance: the anti-codon, which is responsible for specific mRNA codon recognition, and the 3' end, to which the tRNAs corresponding amino acid is attached (by aminoacyl-tRNA synthetases). tRNAs cope with the degeneracy of the genetic code in two manners: having more than one tRNA (with a specific anti-codon) for a particular amino acid; and 'wobble' base-pairing, i.e. permitting non-standard base-pairing at the 3rd anti-codon position.
Source: RNAcentral